Molecule: ribosomal RNA, 468 nt
Filed under: uncultured bacterium
Lineage: Bacteria
Description: partial 16S ribosomal RNA
Rfam family: Bacterial small subunit ribosomal RNA
Source: RNAcentral
GACGAACGCUGGCGGCGUGCUUAACACAUGCAAGUCGAACGGAAAGGCCCUGCUUUUGUGGGGUGCUCGAGUGGCGAACGGGUGAGUAACACGUGAGUAACCUGCCCUUGACUUUGGGAUAACUUCAGGAAACUGGGGCUAAUACCGGAUAGGAGCUCCUGCUGCAUGGUGGGGGUUGGAAAGUUUCGGCGGUUGGGGAUGGACUCGCGGCUUAUCAGCUUGUUGGUGGGGUAGUGGCUUACCAAGGCUUUGACGGGUAGCCGGCCUGAAAGGGUGACCGGCCACAUUGGGACUGAGAUACGGCCCAGACUCCUACGGGAGGCAGCAGUGGGGAAUAUUGCACAAUGGGCGGAAGCCUGAUGCAGCAACGCCGCGUGCGGGAUGACGACCUUCGGGUUGUAAACCGCUUUCGCCUGUGACGAAGCGUGAGUGACGGUAAUGGGUAAAGAAGCACCGGCUAACUACGUG